Molecule: long non-coding RNA, 873 nt
Organism: Cataglyphis hispanica
Lineage: Eukaryota; Metazoa; Arthropoda; Insecta; Hymenoptera; Formicidae
Exons: 3
Source: RefSeq, a predicted model, not a curated record
GCUCAUUCGGAUUCACGCAUCUCAUUCUUCGUGGCUUUAUUUGAGAAAAAUUACAAAACGUCUAAUAAAAAUAAUUCUUAUAACCGAUAGUCAGCAAGAACAGUGAGCCAGAAUAUUCAAUUUAAAGAACGACAUUAACAGUACACGAUUUGAGAUACAUAGUGCAUAUCAUAGGAAGAGAGAAAAUGUUGACGGAUUGGGAAUGGGAUUAUUGUACAAUAGAAAACAAUAUAGCAAUAUGCUGUAUUUGUGGUAAAAAUUUUGAGUGUGAAAUAGACACAAGUAGCGCAAAAGAACACAUAGAGACUCGACAUAAUCGCAAUUGUGUUUCAUUAAGAGAUGAAACACAACCUUUAUCAGAAAAGGGACAGUGGAGAUUAAUUUCCAAGCAUUUCAAAACGUCGGGAAACGGUAAUCUGAGGUGCAAAAUUUGUAGGAAAGUUUUUUUUCUUGAAAAAAAAGCUGACAGACUGAUGGAACACUUAACCGACAUACAUGAAGUUAAUAAAGAUAAAACGGACAAACUCCAGACCUGGCUAUGGACUUAUUAUAAAUAUAUUCCAUAUGAAACAAAUAUAAAUAGGAUAAUAAUAAAGCAAUUAUGCAGCAUAUGCAAUGAAGAUUUCACCAGCUCUAAUAUUUUCAUUUUUAUGAAACAUUUGAUCAAUGUGCAUCAGGCUGACGUACCUUUAGAAUUCAGACCAAAGGUUGAUGUACUUUCAGAACUCAAAACAAAAGAAUAAAAUAAACAAUGCUCAUUUCUAAUGCUAAUGCAAAAAUGCAAAAAAACAGAAGAUGAAAGGAGAACCGUUUCAGGAGAUCACAGCUUAAUUGACAUUCAUUGCCGCAUUUUACUAUUUCCUACAAAUAUCC